CAGUCGCCGCGGUAAAACGAAGGGUGCAAGCGUUACUCGGAAUUACUGGGCGUAAAGCGUGCGUAGGCGGUUUGUUAAGUCUGUUGUGAAAUCCCCGGGCUCAACCUGGGAAUGGCAAUGGAUACUGGCAAGCUAGAGUGUGUCAGAGGAUGGUGGAAUUCCUGGUGUAGCGGUGAAAUGCGUAGAGAUCGGGAGGAACAUCAGUGGCGAAGGCGGCCAUCUGGGACAACACUGACGCUGAGGCACGAAAGCGUGGGGAGCAAACAGGAUUAGAUACCCGCGUAGUCCCUGUCUCUUAUAC
RNAcentral lists this ribosomal RNA (301 nucleotides) under uncultured bacterium. Its description in RNAcentral is "partial 16S ribosomal RNA". It matches the Rfam family "Bacterial small subunit ribosomal RNA", at positions 509 to 807 of the family's 1533-position model. The record is from RNAcentral.